CUAAAACCCCAUAAUUUAUUUUAAGACCUCAAAUCAGGUGGGACUACCCGC
This 51-nucleotide ribosomal RNA is filed under the name Puccinia recondita. RNAcentral's name for it is "partial 28S ribosomal RNA". Lineage: Eukaryota; Fungi; Basidiomycota; Pucciniomycetes; Pucciniales; Pucciniaceae. The record is from RNAcentral.